Molecule: transfer RNA, 92 nt
Filed under: Rhizobium sp. CB3060
Lineage: Bacteria; Pseudomonadati; Pseudomonadota; Alphaproteobacteria; Hyphomicrobiales; Rhizobiaceae
Description: tRNA-Arg
Rfam family: tRNA
About the family: Transfer RNA (tRNA) molecules are approximately 80 nucleotides in length. Their secondary structure includes four short double-helical elements and three loops (D, anti-codon, and T loops).
Source: RNAcentral
GACGGUGUAGCUUAAUGGAUAGAGCCCUUACUUUCGACAGCCCGACUAUUCGGCUGGGUAAGGAGGUGCAGGUUCGACUCCUGCCGCCGUGA